GAUGAACGCUGGCGGCGUGCCUAAUACAUGCCAGUAGAACGCUGAAGGAAGGAGCUUGCUCUUUCCGGAUGAGUUGCGAACGGGUGAGUAACGCGUAGGUAACCUGCCUGGUAGCGGGGGAUAACUAUUGGAAACGAUAGCUAAUACCGCAUAACAGUAGAUGUUGCAUGAUAUCUACUUAAAAGGUGCAAUUGCACCACUACCAGAUGGACCUGCGUUGUAUUAGCUAGUUGGUGAGGUAACGGCUCACCAAGGCGACGAUACAUAGCCGACCUGAGAGGGUGAUCGGCCACACUGGGACUGAGACACGGCCCAGACUCCUACGGGAGGCAGCAGUAGGGAAUCUUCGGCAAUGGACGGAAGUCUGACCGAGCAACGCCGCGUGAGUGAAGAAGGGUUUCGGAUCGUAAAGCUCUGUUGUAAGAGAAGAACGAGUGUGAGAGUGGAAAGUUCACACUGUGACGGUAUCUUACCAGAAAGGGACGGCUAACUACGUG
This 497-nucleotide ribosomal RNA is filed under the name uncultured bacterium. RNAcentral describes it as "partial 16S ribosomal RNA". It matches the Rfam family "Bacterial small subunit ribosomal RNA", at positions 28 to 507 of the family's 1533-position model. The record is from RNAcentral.